GAUCCUGGCUCAGAGUGAACGCUGGCGGCAGGCCUAAUACAUGCAAGUCGAACGGCAGCACGAGUGGAGCUUGCUCCAUGGGUGGCGAGUGGCGGACGGGUGAGGAAUACAUGGGAAUCUGCCCAGUCGUGGGGGAUAACGUAUGGAAACGUACGCUAAUACCGCAUGCGCCCUUCGGGGAAAGUCGGGGACCGCAAGGCCUGACGCGAUUGGAUGAGCCCAUGUUCGAUUAGCUAGUUGGCGGGGUAACGGCCACCAAGGCGACGAUCGAUAGCUGGGUCGUGAGAGGAUGAUCAGCCACACUGGAACUGAGGACACGGGUCCAGACUCCUACGGGAGGCAGCAGUAGGGAAUAUUGGACAAUGGGCGCAAGCCUGAUCCAGCCAUGCCGCGUGAGUGAAGAAGGCCCUCGGGUUGUAAAGCUCUUUUGUUGGGGAAGAAAAGCAGUUGGUUAAUACCCGAUUGUUCUGACGGUACCCAAAGAAUAAGCACCGGCUAACUUCGUG
Molecule: ribosomal RNA, 506 nt
Filed under: uncultured bacterium
Lineage: Bacteria
Description: bacterial SSU rRNA
Rfam family: Bacterial small subunit ribosomal RNA
Source: RNAcentral